Betta splendens (Siamese fighting fish) is the source of this 463-nucleotide long non-coding RNA. The record is from Ensembl. Lineage: Eukaryota; Metazoa; Chordata; Actinopteri; Anabantiformes; Osphronemidae.
GUCCCUGCUUCAUUCUCCAUCUGCUUGGCAGGCUAUCCCCAAGUCAUUAGGCCCCUGGAUGGGUACCCAGCUGGGGGGGAGUGGAGUAGGAGGGAACGGGGCCUGUUCCACUACGCCUGGCACUGGCCAUAUAGAAGGGGGCAUCUGGCGAGCGAGAACCCCAGGUCAGGCUAUCUGAGGAAGGAGCACAUCGGUGGGCACUUCAUGGAUGGCUCACUGUCUGUCCCUGGCAGCUUGUCAUUUAUCACUGCUGAGAAGCAAUGUCAGGUUUUCCUUGUCGGCCGGCCUGACAAAUCUUUACCUGGUCCCCGUGCCCCGCUCAGGACUUGUCUUGCAGCAAAGGAUGGCCUGUGUUAAACAGACAGCUCGGUGAUAGAAAGUGUCCAGUUGGAGACAAAGAACGCAGACAACAGAUAUGAGUCCACACACAUACAUGCCCGCGGCCCGCAGGAAUUUACAGUGC